RNAcentral lists this ribosomal RNA (433 nucleotides) under uncultured bacterium. Its description in RNAcentral is "partial 16S ribosomal RNA". It matches the Rfam family "Bacterial small subunit ribosomal RNA", at positions 29 to 507 of the family's 1533-position model. The record is from RNAcentral.
AACGAACGCUGGCGGCAUGCCUAACACAUGCAAGUCGAACGAUGCCUUCGGGCAUAGUGGCGCACGGGUGCGUAACGCGUGGGAAUCUGCCUUUCGGUUCGGAAUAACUCAGGGAAACUUGAGCUAAUACCGGAUAACGUCGCAAGACCAAAGAUUUAUCACCGAAAGAUGAGCCCGCGUAGGAUUAGCUAGUUGGUGAGGUAAAGGCUCACCAAGGCGACGAUCCUUAGCUGGUCUGAGAGGAUGAUCAGCCACACUGGGACUGAGACACGGCCCAGACUCCUACGGGAAGCAGCAGUGGGGAAUAUUGGACAAUGGGUGAAAGCCUGAUCCAGCAAUGCCGCGUGAGUGAUGAAGGCCUUAGGGUUGUAAAGCUCUUUUACCCGGGAAGAUAAUGACGGUACCGGGAGAAUAAGCCCCGGCUAACUCCGUG